UCAAACAGAGCAUCUUAAUGGGGACAAAAAGGGAUUUAAGUGACUUUGAAUGUGGCGUGGUUGUUGGUGCCAGACGGGCUGGUCUGAGUGUUUCAGAAACCGCUGAUCUACUGGUAUUUUCAUGCAAAACCAUCUCUAGGAUUUAUAGAGAAUGUUACUGAGUUAUGGGGUAAAAACAGCAA
Molecule: long non-coding RNA, 182 nt
Organism: Thalassophryne amazonica
Lineage: Eukaryota; Metazoa; Chordata; Actinopteri; Batrachoidiformes; Batrachoididae
Exons: 3
Source: RefSeq, a predicted model, not a curated record